AACGAACGCUGGCGGCAUGCCUAACACAUGCAAGUCGAACGCGUGUAGCAAUACACGAGUGGCGGACGGGUGAGUAACGCGUGGGAACCUGCCCAGUGGUAGGGAAUAACUGCGGGAAACUGCAGCUAAUACCCUAUACGCCCUUUGGGGGAAAGAUUCAUCGCCAUUGGAGGGGCCCGCGUCGGAUUAGCUAGUUGGCGGGGUAACGGCCCACCAAGGCAACGAUCCGUAGCUGGUCUGAGAGGACGACCAGCCACACUGGCACUGCGACACGGGCCAGACUCCUACGGGAGGCAGCAGUAAGGAAUAUUGCGCAAUGGGCGAAAGCCUGACGCAGCGACGCCGCGUGGGGGAUGAAGGUCUUCGGAUUGUAAACCCC
This 379-nucleotide ribosomal RNA is filed under the name uncultured bacterium. RNAcentral's name for it is "bacterial SSU rRNA". It matches the Rfam family "Bacterial small subunit ribosomal RNA", at positions 29 to 433 of the family's 1533-position model. The record is from RNAcentral.